GAUGACGCUCACGUCCUACGAAGAGUUGGAACCCGCUGCCCAGUGACGACUGACUGGUAUUCCCCAUGCAUGGGGAGCCUCGCCGUUUACGGCGAGGAGGAUGUCACCAAAGCAUGA
Molecule: unclassified non-coding RNA, 117 nt
Filed under: Halostagnicola kamekurae
Lineage: Archaea; Methanobacteriati; Methanobacteriota; Halobacteria; Halobacteriales; Natrialbaceae
Description: HgcC family RNA
Source: RNAcentral